RNAcentral lists this ribosomal RNA (253 nucleotides) under uncultured bacterium. RNAcentral's name for it is "partial 16S ribosomal RNA". It matches the Rfam family "Bacterial small subunit ribosomal RNA", at positions 524 to 776 of the family's 1533-position model. The record is from RNAcentral.
UACGGAGGGUGCAAGCGUUAUCCGGAUUCACUGGGUUUAAAGGGUGCGUAGGAGGGCAGGUAAGUCAGUGGUGAAAUCUCCAAGCUUAACUUGGAAACUGCCGUUGAUACUAUCUGUCUUGAAUAUUGUGGAGGUGAGCGGAAUAUGUCAUGUAGCGGUGAAAUGCUUAGAUAUGACAUAGAACACCGAUUGCGAAGGCAGCUCACUACACAAUCAUUGACUCUGAGGCACGAAAGCGUGGGGAUCAAACAGG